Molecule: ribosomal RNA, 400 nt
Filed under: uncultured Pseudomonas sp.
Lineage: Bacteria; Pseudomonadati; Pseudomonadota; Gammaproteobacteria; Pseudomonadales; Pseudomonadaceae
Description: bacterial SSU rRNA
Rfam family: Bacterial small subunit ribosomal RNA
Source: RNAcentral
GACAUGCAGAGAACUUUACCAGAGAUGGAUUGGUGCCUUCGGGAACUCUGACACAGGUGCUGCAUGGCUGUCGUCAGCUCGUGUCGUGAGACGUUGGGUUAAGUCCGUAACGAGCGCAACCCUUGUCCUUAGUUACCAGCACGUUAUGGUGGGCACUCUAAGGAGACUGCCGGUGACAAACCGGAGGAAGGUGGGGAUGACGUCAAGUCAUCAUGGCCCUUACGGCCUGGGCUACACACGUGCUACAAUGGUCGGUACAAAGGGUUGCCAAGCCGCGAGGUGGAGCUAAUCCCAUAAAACCGAUCGUAGUCCGGAUCGCAGUCUGCAACUCGACUGCGUGAAGUCGGAAUCGCUAGUAAUCGUGAAUCAGAAUGUCACGGUGAAUACGUUCCCGGGCCUU